CCUACGGGAGGCAGCAGUGAGGAAUAUUGGUCAAUGGGCGAGAGCCUGAACCAGCCAAGCCGCGUGAAGGAUGACGGCCCUACGGGUUGUAAACUUCUUUUGUCAGGGAGCAAUUGAGUCCACGUGUGGGCUUAGCGAGAGUACCUGCAGAAAAAGCAUCGGCUAACUCCGUGCCAGCAGCCGCGGUAAUACGGGGGAUGCGAGCGUUAUCCGGAUUUAUUGGGUUAAAGGGGUGCGUAGGCGGAAUAUCAAGUCAGCGGUAAAAAUGCGGGGCCAAACCCCGCCGUGCCGUUGAAACUGAUGUUCUUGAGUGGGCGAGAGGUAUGCGGAAUGCGUGGUGUAGCGGUGAAAUGCAUAGAUAUCGCGCAGAACUCCGAUUGCGAAGGCAGCAUACCGGCGCCCAACUGACGCUGAGGCACGAAAGCGUGGGUAUCGAACAGGAUUAGAUACCCUUGUAGUC
Molecule: ribosomal RNA, 460 nt
Filed under: uncultured bacterium
Lineage: Bacteria
Description: partial 16S ribosomal RNA
Rfam family: Bacterial small subunit ribosomal RNA
Source: RNAcentral